GGAGUCUGAUGGUUGUAGAGUAAUAACUGUUCCUGAACAUUGUGGCGUAGAAGUUAAGGCUCCUAUACCUUCAUCACGACAGUAGCAGCGAGAAGAGAGCAAGGCCGAUGGUGGGGGUCCUUGCAUAAAUUACUUACAUGACAACAAUUCGUAAAAUCUCAUAUUCUGCUGCUCGACCUAUUCAUCACCUGAAAGAGGAGCCAAACAGAUGAUGGAAAUCUGAAACAUCGACGGAAAGGUACAAAGGGUUAAGUUGCAUCUCUGGAGAGAGGACCAGUGUGAAAAAUUCAGGGGACCUGAUGUCUGUGUGUCUUCAAGUUGGGUACCUCAUGUCUAUGAGCCUGUGAGCCCAAGCCAGGGUCUGGAGUUUGGAAGCCCAGAAGUGGGAGGUCAUGGGUCGGAGACCUGUCUGAUAGUGCAGCCAGAAAGCAAAGAAACCCGAAAGAACCCAUAAAAUAAAGAAGACCAUCAAACACCCAAUGCGCAAAGAGGAAAAAAAAUGAAUUGUGGAAAUAAUAAAAGUAAGCAAGUAGCAUUCAGAACGAAAAUGAGUCCAUGGACAUGAAGCGUGGAGCAGUCCAAGUUGCUCUUAGCCUCAGCAUCAGUUUAGUGUGGAGCCGAGUAAACAUCACCCAGAGCGGCCAGUUCAAAAGCUGAUUGAAGGUACCAACUGCUUCUGAACCUGCUGGUGCAAGUCCUGAGUCUCCUGUACCUUCUCCUGAUGGCAGCACGAGAAGAAAGAAUACCCUGUGUGAUGGGGGUCCCUGAUGAUGAAUGCUGCUUGCCUGAGACAGCAUUUCAUGUUGAAGUGCUCAAUGGUGGGGAGGGCUUUACUUGUGGUGGACUGGGCCAUAUCCAUAACUUUUCAUAGGACUUUCUGUUCAAGGAUAUUGGUGUUUCCAUACCAGGCUGUGAUGCAGUCAGUCAAUAUACUCUCCACUACACAUCUAUAGAGGUUUGUCAAAGUUUUAUAUGUCAUGUCAAGUCUUUGUAAGCUCCUAGGAAGGAGAGGUACUACAUGCUUUCUUCAUAACUGCACUUACCUGCUGGGCCCAGAACAGGCCCUCUGAAAUGAUAGCAGCAAGGAAUUUAAAGUUGCUGACCCUCUCUACCUCUUAUCCUCCAUUGAAGACUGCCUGAAUGCCCUCUGGUUUCCUUCUCCUAUAACUUUCUGUAGACCAUUCCUGCUACUAGUGUUUCAACACCAAGCACUUGAGAUAUGGCAUGAUGCCUUCUACAAACAAGAAACAGCCCAUCCCGAAGCAUUUCAAAUCAUAGUCUGGGACUUCAACCAGGCUUGUUCGAAGACAAUCCUGCCCAAUUAGCAUCAAUACAUACCCUGUAGCACCAGAGGUCCCAACACACUGGACCACAGUUAUACUAAGAUAAGGAAUACCUACCAUUCCAUGCCCAGACUACAUUUCAGUAAAUCUGAUCACUUGGCCGUCCUUCUCCUACUUGCAUACAGGCAGAGGCUAAAGCUCCUGAGAUUAGGACAACAAAGAGGUGGUUGUGGGAGGCAGAGGACCGGCUAUGGGAUUGCUUCAAGUCAGUAGACUGGGUUGUGUUCAAGGAAUCAUCUGUGGAUAUGUGAAUACUCCACGGACUUUAUUAAAACAGUUGAAGAUGAGUGUGCUUCUGCAAAGUCAUUUAGAGUCUUCACCAACUAGAAGCCCUGGAUGAACCAUGAGUUCGGCAAUCUGCUGAGGACCGGAUCAGAUCAAAGGUGUCCAAGUCUGGUGACCAAGAAAGUUACAAGAGGUCCAGGUGCAAUCUCCUGAAAUCUAUCUCAAAGAUAAAGUGGCAAUUCUGGACCAAACUUGAAUAAAUGAAAGAUGCUGAACAAUUGCGGCAGGGCUUGAGUUCUAUCGCCACUUAUAACGUUAAAUCAAGCAACUCAGGUGGCAAGAGGGCUUCACUUCCAGGUGAGCUCAAUGCCUGCCUUCAAUGUUUGCUUUGACUGUCAAAACUUGGAGGAACCAUCUCAAGCUCCCACAGCCUCCAAUGAUUCUGUGAUUUCAGUCCUUGAGGCCAAUGUGCGAGCAGCCUUCAGGAAGAUGCACCCAUGGAGAGCUUCUGGAGCAGACGGGAUACUGGGCCAAGUACCAAAAACCUGUGCUAUCAACUGGCUGCAAUGUUCACUGAGAUCUUUAACCUCUCACUUUACCAGUCUAAGGUACCCACCUGCUUCAAUCCGGCUUCAAUAAUACCAGAAAAACAUAUUAACCUGCCCCAAUGACUAUCAUACAGUAGCACUUACAUCUUCCGUGAUGAAGUAUUUUGAGAGAUUGUGGUGAUGCAUAUCAACUCCUACCUGAGAAGCAACUUGGAUCCACUCCAAUUUGUCUACUCGAACAACAAGCCCACAGCGGAAGGAAACAUAGAAAAGUAGAAAACCUACAGCACAAUACAGGCACUUGGGCCCACAAAGCUGUGCCAAACAUGUCCUUACCUUAGAAAUUACCUAGGGUUACCCAUAGCCCUCUAUUUUUCUGAGCUCCAUGUAACUGUCCAGGAGUGUCUUAGAAGACCCUAUCGUAUCUGUCUCCACCACCAUUGCCGACAGUCCAUUCCACGCACUCACCACUCUCUGAGUAAAAAACUUACCCCUAACAUCUCCUCUGUACCUACUUCUAAGCACCUUAAAACUGUGCCCUCUCAUGCGAGCCAUUUUGGCCAUGGGAAAAAGCCUCUGACUAUCCACAUGAUCAAUGCCUCUCAUCAUCUUAUACACCUCCAUCAGGUCACCUCUCAUCCUCUGUCGCUCCAAGGAGAAAAGGCCAAGUUCACUCAACCUAUUCUCAUAGGCAUGCUUCCCAAUCCAGGCAACAUCCUUGUAAAUCUCCUCUGUACCCUUUCUAUGGCUUCCACAUCCUUCCUGUGGUGAGGCGACCGGAAAUGAGCACGGUACUCCAAGUGGGGUCUGACCAGGGUCCUAUAUAGCUGCAACAUUGCCUCUUGGCUCCUAAACUCAAUCCCAUGGUUAAUGAAGGCCUCUGUGCCUUCUUAACCACAGAGUCAACCUACGCAGCAGCUUUGAGUGUCCUAUGGACUCAGACCCCAAGAUCCCUCUGAUCCUCCACACUGCCAAGAGUCUUAACAAUAAUACUAUAUUCUGCCAUUAUAUUUGACCUACCAGAAUGAAACUUAACAGGGUUGAACUCCAUCUGCCACUUCUCAGCCCAGUUUUGCAUCCUAUCAAUGUCCCGCUGUACUCUCUGACAGCCCUCCACAUGAUCCACAACACCUCCAACCUUGGUGUCAUCAGCAAACUUACUAACCCAUCCAUCCCCUUCCUCAUCCAGGUCAUUUAUAAAAAUCACAAAGAGUAGGGGUCCCAGAACAGAUCCCUAAGGCACACCACUGCUGACCGACCUCUAUGCAGAAUAUGACCCAUCUACAACCACUCUUUGCCUUCUGUGGGCAAGCAAGACCUGGAUCCACAAGCAAUGUCCCUUUGGAUCCCAUGUCACCUUACUCUCCCAAUAAACCUUGCAUGGGGUACCUUAUCAAGUGCCUUGCUGAAAUCCAUAUACACUAUGUCUAUGUCUCUUCCUUCAUUAAUGUGUUUAGUCACAUCCUCAAAAAAUUCAAUUUGGCUCCCCAGGCAUGGCCUAACUUUCACAAAACCAUGCUAAUUUUUCCUAACCAUAUUAUGCCUUUCCAAAUGUUCAUAAAUUGGGGCAUGACUGUCUCAGACAGUGAGAACAGUGAGAAGAGUUUAAAAGCCAGAGGAGUUUAAAGAGUCAGUUAUUUCUUCAGCGGUUUGAUUGGGGCAUGACUGCGCAAGCGCGUGGACAUCAACCAGUGAGAACAGCGAGAAGAGUUUAAAAGGAGACAGCUUUAUAGUGCGGGCAUCGGAGGAGUAGGCGAUGGAGUAGAGGGAAACAGAGUAGGAAGGCUUUGUCUCAAUGGGGCUUAGGCAAUAACAGGUUGCGAGGUAGGUUAUUUGUGUAGACUACAGAGAGGAAGUUUGUGUGUGAGGCCAGUGUUCUGUGCUUGGUAUCAGAUGUGGGAAGUCCAGUAGACUCACAGCCUCCCGGACGGCCACAUCUGCGCCAGGUGCAUUGAGCUACAGUUCCUUAAGGACCAUGCUAGGGAACUGCAGAUGCAGCUCGAUGACCUUUGUCUGGUCAGGGAGAGUGAAGAGGUGAUACAGAGCUAUAGGCUGGUGGUCAGACUGGGGCCUGGGGAGACAGAUAAGUGGGUAACAGUCAGGAGAGAGAAGAGCAGGAGUCAGAGGCUAGAGAGCACCCCUGUGGCUGUACCCCUUGACAAUAAGUACUCCUGCUUGAGUGCUGUUGGAGGGGAUGGCCUACCUGGGGGAAGCCACAGUGGUACAGAGUCCGGCCCUGUGGCUCAGAAGGGUAGGGAAAGGAAGAGGAUGGCAGCAGUAAUAGGGGACACCAUAGUUCGGGGGUCAGACAGAUGAUUCUGUGGAUGCAAGAAAGAAACUAGGGCGGUAGUUUGCCUCCAGGGUGCCAGGGUCUGGGAUGUUUCUGAUUGCAUCCAUGAUAUCCUGAAGUGGGAAGGAGAACAGCCAGAGGUCGUGGUACAUAUUGGUACCAACGACAUAGGCAGGAAAUGGAAGGAGGUCGUGAAAGCAGACUACAGGGAGUUAGGAAGGAAGUUGAGAAGCAGAACCUUAAAGGGAGUCAUCUCGGGAUUACUGCCUGUGCCACAUGACAGUGAGUAUAGGAAUAGAGUGAGGUGGAGAAUGAAUGCGUGGCUGAGAGAUUGGAGUGGGGGUAGGGAUUCAGAUUUCUGGUUGAUUGGGACCUCUAUUGGAGCAGGAGUGACCUGUACAAAAAGGACGGGUUGCACCUGAAUCGCAGUGGGACCAAUAUUCUGGCGGAAAGGUUUGCUAAAGCUAUUGGGGAGAGUUUAAACUAGGAUUACUGGGGGGGGGGAGGUGG
This is a long non-coding RNA of Hypanus sabinus (Atlantic stingray), 4916 nucleotides long. RefSeq lists it as uncharacterized. NCBI's taxonomy places the organism in Eukaryota, Metazoa, Chordata, Chondrichthyes, Myliobatiformes, Dasyatidae. The transcript has 4 exons. The record is from RefSeq and is a predicted model, not a curated record.